Zingiber officinale is the source of this 174-nucleotide long non-coding RNA. RefSeq lists it as uncharacterized. The record is from RefSeq and is a predicted model, not a curated record. NCBI's taxonomy places the organism in Eukaryota, Viridiplantae, Streptophyta, Magnoliopsida, Zingiberales, Zingiberaceae. The transcript has 3 exons.
UCUCCAUUCCAUCGCCUCUUGAUCCAGCUGAGUUCUUCCUUCAUGGCGCCCGUCGCCCCUGCAGCAGACCCUUCAAAUUUAUUGCAGAAGCUGUCUUUGGAUCCUCAGCCGAAGUCUAAAGAUGCUGUUGAAGCCACCAAGCAGGUUUCUGUUGCCCAUACUGGAUCGAGUAAU